UCUUCACCUCGAUCUUCAACA
This 21-nucleotide non-coding RNA is filed under the name Caenorhabditis elegans. The record is from RNAcentral. Lineage: Eukaryota; Metazoa; Nematoda; Chromadorea; Rhabditida; Rhabditidae.